RNAcentral lists this RNase P RNA (286 nucleotides) under Candidatus Marsarchaeota G2 archaeon ECH_B_1. RNAcentral's name for it is "RNase P RNA component". It matches the Rfam family "Archaeal RNase P". Rfam says of the family: Ribonuclease P (RNase P) is a ubiquitous endoribonuclease, found in archaea, bacteria and eukarya as well as chloroplasts and mitochondria. Its best characterised activity is the generation of mature 5'-ends of tRNAs by cleaving the 5'-leader elements of precursor-tRNAs. Lineage: Archaea; Thermoproteati; Thermoproteota. The record is from RNAcentral. RNAcentral also lists the same sequence under 2 other names.
GCGAGCCACUGGACGGCCUCCGGACCGUGGGUCUGAGGACGCUCCGCCCACCGUGUGGGAGCGCGACGCCGUAAGGCGUUUGGGGAGACCCAAGCCUCUGGCACAGAAACGCUCGGCGAAACCAAUACGGAUGACAAUGAUGGUUCACUGAGGACAUGGUUUCGCCUUGAAACGGUCAUGCCGCGCGGUGCAAGGGUCUAUGCGCCGAUGAGCCCCCACAUGAGGCGCAGGUAACCCGCAUAGUCAAAUGCCGUCUAAAACUCAAGGCGGGCUACGGGUGGCACGC